AGAAAAGAUUCAUACCAAAAUAACGUUCUUUUCCAAAAAUUUCAGCAAUUCUUAGUCAAGGAUUCAUUUUGGAAUUAUUAGCAACAGACCAUGUAAGGAUUGUGUUGUCUUGUAAAAUAUACAAAUGGAUGAAGUGGAAAGCUCUACCCGCCCUUCUCUAUUCAUGAAUAAGGAAUGGCCAAGAUCACUAGCAGCAGAUGUUGGGUCACAUUUGUUACCAAUUACCCAAAAUUGGUGGCCAACACCAUGUGUUAUAGGCCUAUGAUAUGGUCUUGAAGUACUACUGGUCAGUCAGACAGACAAACAAGUAGGCCUCUUCAAUAAAUGUUGCCCGAGCUCAGCUUGAUCAGUAAACUCCAUGCCUUUCGAAGUUUCUAGGUCUAGAGCCUUAUGUAUAUCUUGUAUAUAUACGUAUAUAUGUCAUGAGUCGGUCGGAUAGCUGUUCUGAUCACAAUAUAUCCAUUAGUAGAGGGUUGUAGACAUAUCUUUUCAGUUAGUGCAGUAUGUUGGGCUUUCAGGCCUUGUAUGUAUAUUUGGUUGGUUUGUCAGUUGUAAUAAAUAUGACAGCCUUGUUGGCCAAGCUUUA
This is a long non-coding RNA of Nicotiana tabacum (common tobacco), 586 nucleotides long. RefSeq lists it as uncharacterized. Lineage: Eukaryota; Viridiplantae; Streptophyta; Magnoliopsida; Solanales; Solanaceae. The record is from RefSeq and is a predicted model, not a curated record.